UACAUGGGGUGCAAACGUUGCUCGGAAUCAUUGGGCGUAAAGCGCGCGUAGGCGGUUGCUUAAGUCGGAUGUGAAAACCCGAGGCUCAACCUCGGGCCUGCAUUCGAUACGGGCUGGCUAGAGUACUGCAGGGGAGACUGGAAUUCCUGGUGUAGCGGUGAAAUGCGCAGAUAUCAGGAGGAACACCGGUGGCGAAGGCGGGUCUCUGGGCAGUAACUGACGCUGAGGAGCGAAAGCGUGGGGAGCGAACAGG
RNAcentral lists this ribosomal RNA (253 nucleotides) under uncultured bacterium. RNAcentral describes it as "partial 16S ribosomal RNA". It matches the Rfam family "Bacterial small subunit ribosomal RNA", at positions 524 to 776 of the family's 1533-position model. The record is from RNAcentral.